This 330-nucleotide ribosomal RNA is filed under the name uncultured bacterium. RNAcentral's name for it is "bacterial SSU rRNA". It matches the Rfam family "Bacterial small subunit ribosomal RNA", at positions 30 to 361 of the family's 1533-position model. The record is from RNAcentral.
AUUGAACGCUGGCGGCAUGCCUUACACAUGCAAGUCGAACGGCAGCACGGGAGCAAUCCUGGUGGCGAGUGGCGAACGGGUGAGUAAUAUAUCGGAACGUGCCCAGUCGUGGGGGAUAACGUAGCGAAAGCUACGCUAAUACCGCAUACGAUCUAUGGAUGAAAGCGGGGGAUCGCAAGACCUCGCGCGAUUGGAGCGGCCGAUAUCAGAUUAGGUAGUUGGUGAGGUAAGGCUCACCAAGCCGACGAUCUGUAGCUGGUCUGAGAGGACGACCAGCCACACUGGGACUGAGACACGGCCCAGACUCCUACGGGAGGCAGCAGUGGGGAA